RNAcentral lists this non-coding RNA (87 nucleotides) under uncultured Prevotella sp. The record is from RNAcentral. Lineage: Bacteria; Pseudomonadati; Bacteroidota; Bacteroidia; Bacteroidales; Prevotellaceae.
UUGGGGUGCUUGGGCGUUUGCCCUCGCUGAGAUUAUACCCGUUGAACCUGAUACGGACAAUGCCGACGCAGGGACGAGAUUUUCUUU